GACGAACGCUGGCGGCGUGCUUAACACAUGCAAGUCGAACGGAAAGGCCCUGCUUUUGUGGGGUGCUCGAGUGGCGAACGGGUGAGUAACACGUGAGUAACCUGCCCUUGACUUUGGGAUAACUUCAGGAAACUGGGGCUAAUACCGGAUAGGAGCUCCUGCUGCAUGGUGGGGGUUGGAAAGAUUCGGCGGUUGGGGAUGGACUCGCGGCUUAUCAGCUUGUUGGUGGGGUAGUGGCUUACCAAGUCUUUGACGGGUAGCCGGCCUGAGAGGGUGACCGGCCACAUUGGGACUGAGAGACGGCCCAGACUCCUACGGGAGGCAGCAGUGGGGAAUAUUGCACAAUGGGCGGAAGCCUGAUGCAGCAACGCCGCGUGCGGGAUGACGGCCUUCGGGUUGUAAACCGCUUUCGCCGGUGACGAAGCGUGAGUGACGGUAAUGGGUAAAGAAGCACCGGCUAACUACGUG
This 468-nucleotide ribosomal RNA is filed under the name uncultured bacterium. Its description in RNAcentral is "partial 16S ribosomal RNA". It matches the Rfam family "Bacterial small subunit ribosomal RNA", at positions 28 to 507 of the family's 1533-position model. The record is from RNAcentral.